This 513-nucleotide ribosomal RNA is filed under the name uncultured organism. RNAcentral describes it as "SSU rRNA". It matches the Rfam family "Bacterial small subunit ribosomal RNA", at positions 1 to 509 of the family's 1533-position model. The record is from RNAcentral.
AGUAGUUUCGAGUCCUGGCUACGAGGACAACGGCUGGGCCGGCGUGCCUAACACAUGCAAGUCGAACGAAGCACUUCCGGUUUGAGAUUCGUCAAGAAUCGGAAAUGGACUUAGUGGCGGACGGGUGAGUAAUGCGUGAGCAACCUGCCCUUCAGUGGGGGACAACAGUUGGAAACGACUGCUAAUACCGCAUAAUGUAUCCGGGAGGCAUCUUCUGGAUACCAAAGAUUUAUUGCUGAAGGAUGGGCUCACGUCUGAUUAGCUGGUUGGCGGGGUAACGGCCCACCAAGGCGACGAUCAGUAGCCGGACUGAGAGGUUGAACGGCCACAUUGGGACUGAGAUACGGCCCAGACUCCUACGGGAGGCAGCAGUGGGGAAUAUUGGGCAAUGGGCGAAAGCCUGACCCAGCAACGCCGCGUGAAGGAAGAAGGCCUUCGGGUUGUAAACUUCUUUUAUGAAGGGACGAAGGACGUGACGGUACCUCAUGAAUAAGCCACGGCUAACUACGUGCC